GAUGAACGCUGGCGGCGUGCCUAAUACAUGCAAGUCGAGCGAACAGAUAAGGAGCUUGCUCCUUUGACGUUAGCGGCGGACGGGUGAGUAACACGUGGGUAACCUACCUAUAAGACUGGAAUAACUCCGGGAAACCGGGGCUAAUGCCGGAUAACAUUUAGAACCGCAUGGUUCUAAAGUGAAAGAUGGUUUUGCUAUCACUUAUAGAUGGACCCGCGCCGUAUUAGCUAGUUGGUAAGGUAACGGCUUACCAAGGCAACGAUACGUAGCCGACCUGAGAGGGUGAUCGCCACACUGGAACUGAGACACGGUCCAGACUCCUACGGGAGGCAGCAGUAGGGAAUCUUCCGCAAUGGGCGAAAGCCUGACGGAGCAACGCCGCGUGAGUGAUGAAGGUCUUCGGAUCGUAAAACUCUGUUAUUAGGGAAGAACAAAUGUGUAAGUAACUGUGCACGUCUUGACGGUACCUAAUCAGAAAGCCACGGCUAACUACGUG
This 496-nucleotide ribosomal RNA is filed under the name uncultured bacterium. Its description in RNAcentral is "partial 16S ribosomal RNA". It matches the Rfam family "Bacterial small subunit ribosomal RNA", at positions 28 to 507 of the family's 1533-position model. The record is from RNAcentral.